AGAGUUUGAUCAUGGCUCAGAUUGAACGCUGGCGGCAGGCUUAACACAUGCAAGUCGAACGGUAACAGAAGAUAGCUUGCUAUUUUGCUGACGAGUGGCGGACGGGUGAGUAAUGCUUGGGAAUUUACCAAAAGGUGGGGGACAACAGUUGGAAACGACUGCUAAUACCGCAUAACGUCUACGGACCAAAGGUGGCCUCUAUUUAUACGCUAUCGCCUUUUGAUGAGCCCAAGUGGGAUUAGCUAGUUGGUAAGGUAAUGGCUUACCAAGGCGACGAUCCCUAGCUGGUCUUAGAGGAUGACCAGCCACACUGGAACUGAGACACGGUCCAGACUCCUACGNNAGCCACCAGUGGGGAAUAUUGCACAAUGGAGGGAACUCUGAUGCAGCCAUGCCGCGUGUGUGAAGAAGGCUUUCGGGUUGUAAAGCACUUUCAG
Molecule: ribosomal RNA, 437 nt
Filed under: uncultured bacterium
Lineage: Bacteria
Description: bacterial SSU rRNA
Rfam family: Bacterial small subunit ribosomal RNA
Source: RNAcentral